GACGAACGCUGGCGGCGUGCUUAACACAUGCAAGUCGAACGGAAAGGCCCUGCUUUUGUGGGGUGCUCGAGUGGCGAACGGGUGAGUAACACGUGAGUAACCUGCCCUUGACUUUGGGAUAACUUCAGGAAACUGGGGCUAAUACCGGAUAGGAGCUCCUGCUGCAUGGUGGGGGUUGGAAAGUUUCGGCGGUUGGGGAUGGACUCGCGGCUUAUCAGCUUGUUGGUGGGGUAGUGGCUUACCAAGGCUUUGACGGGUAGCCGGCCUGAGAGGGUGACCGGCCACAUUGGGACUGAGAUACGGCCCAGACUCCUACGGGAGGCAGCAGUGGGGAAUAUUGCACAAUGGGCGGAGGCCUGAUGCAGCAACGCCGCGUGCGGGAUGACGGCCUUCGGGUUGUAAACCGCUUUCGCCUGUGACGAAGCGUGAGUUACGGUAAUGGGUAAAGAAGCACCGGCUAACUACGUG
RNAcentral lists this ribosomal RNA (468 nucleotides) under uncultured bacterium. Its description in RNAcentral is "partial 16S ribosomal RNA". It matches the Rfam family "Bacterial small subunit ribosomal RNA", at positions 28 to 507 of the family's 1533-position model. The record is from RNAcentral.